GAACUUGCGGAAAAAAAUCUGGGAACUAUAUUUACACACAAGGACUUACUAGAAUUAGUCUAAAGGUUCGCUGUUGAGCUGCAAACACCAUCUUUCCCAUUGAUUGCCACUUACCCACCAUUUUUUGUUUGUGCAUCUGAUUUUAAACCAAGGGUCGUUGACUUGAUUAAACUAGGUAUGAACUCCAACGAGUUACUGAAACUCCCGUUUCCGCCUGGAAGUGUGCCUACGAUUGAAAAGAUUAUCAACUGAUGUUUAUUAUCCAUUCUAAGCAAGUUGGAUGAAAAGCUGCCAGAUGAGUACAAGAAGGUUUUGUAAAAUCCUGUCUUCGGUCCGAUUCUUAGGAUUAAUAAAAACUGAACUCAGCA
This is a long non-coding RNA of Eutrema salsugineum, 368 nucleotides long. RefSeq lists it as uncharacterized. The transcript is spliced from 3 exons. The record is from RefSeq and is a predicted model, not a curated record. NCBI's taxonomy places the organism in Eukaryota, Viridiplantae, Streptophyta, Magnoliopsida, Brassicales, Brassicaceae.